This is a long non-coding RNA of Pogoniulus pusillus (Red-fronted tinkerbird), 681 nucleotides long. RefSeq lists it as uncharacterized. The transcript is spliced from 4 exons. Lineage: Eukaryota; Metazoa; Chordata; Aves; Piciformes; Lybiidae. The record is from RefSeq and is a predicted model, not a curated record.
ACGGGGGGAUCCGCGGAAAGCCUUCCUCCCUCUCGCCGUUGCGGCUUCUUCCCUUGCGGAGCUGAAGACCAAAGUCGCUCUGUCACACUCCUGCUGUCCGACGCGGAAGGGAGCUUCCCGCGGAGCGCGGCCCGGCCAGGCUCCGGCCCGCCUCAACUGCGGAACGAGUGCCGCCUUCUCAAGCGCUUAAUUCAAAACUCUUCCUCAAAAAACUCUUAAAUGUGGAAAAGUUUGGUUCGACACGAACGUCCCGCGGCUGGUGCAAACAUGACACUCCAUAAUAACCCUGUAACUGUGUAACUGAAGUAAUGUCUUCAUCAGCUGCUGCCAAGCUACACCCAGACAAGCCAUCUGCCACCCUAGGAAACUACAUACUCCUCUGAAGCCUGGAAAACAUCAGAAGCCUCAGAAGCUCACAAGACAUUGACAGAACCCUCUGCAAGUCUGAAGCUGUAGCUUGCCCCAUGAGUUGGGAGAUAGUUUUUCUGCCUUCAUCCUGGCCCAUGAGUUCUUUUCCAUCUUAUCUUCUCCCCUGCUGUCCUGUGCUGGAAGGAAGUCACAGAAUGAGCUUGACGGGCACCUGGUGGCCAGCCAAGGUCAGCCCACCGCACUUUUGGACACAGGUUGUGGAAAUGUUACGAUGAACUUCAUGUCUCAUGCAUUUUUAUCCCUGCAAAGAUC